CCUUAGUCUCCUGUAAUAAGGUAGCUGUGGUGGCUGGGCCACCACAACAGGCAUUUUUAUUUCUGUUCCAUCUCUUUAGGACCCUCCCCUGAGAGCACACUAUUAAAGGCUCAAGAAGGGAGAAGCCUAGAGACCUGUCCUCUGAACAAAGCCAAGCACAGUCAGGCUCAGCAGAGAGGUGAAUGGAAGCUGUUAGGAGAAAUAGAGGACACUAGAGCAAGGAGCUGCUGGGAGGCUGCUUCCACUCCUCUUCAAAAUGAGUCCUGCUGAAGUCAGGAUCUGUUUCCGACACCCUACCCUUCAACUGCGAUGAAGAGCUGGAUGUGGGACAUCAAAGGGCAGAAGAGGAUCACUGGGUGUCUUGGAGCCACUUGCCAGAAACUGAUUUUUCUGGACCAGGCUAUUUUUUGUAUCACCAUCAUUAUUGUUUGGCAUGUACAAGUCUUACUGGGUAAAGGGAAGGAAUGAAUUCUGUGAGAAAUUUUAGGACUUUACUACUUGAGAGACAUUCCACUUAAAAAUUAAUGACUUAUUUCCUGAAAAGCCUCCAAAAGUCAACAAGGCAUUUUAAUUAUCUUCAGUUUCCAGGUCUAGGAAAUGUUAGUUCCUCUUGCAUGAAAGAAUGUUCAUGCACACCUCACUCUGUAUAAUGUGUGGCUCCACGUGGUAAUUUUUUUUAUUACACUACUAUAAUUACUGUUUAUACAUUAAUCAUACAUGAGAGAAAUAAAGCUGACCCUUCAUAAAUCACUUCUUUCAGUAAGCCCGACUAUUUUUCUAUACAUUGUG
Long non-coding RNA from Mustela lutreola (European mink), 789 nucleotides. RefSeq lists it as uncharacterized. The record is from RefSeq and is a predicted model, not a curated record. The transcript is spliced from 3 exons. NCBI's taxonomy places the organism in Eukaryota, Metazoa, Chordata, Mammalia, Carnivora, Mustelidae.